Molecule: long non-coding RNA, 228 nt
Filed under: Phaseolus vulgaris (common bean)
Lineage: Eukaryota; Viridiplantae; Streptophyta; Magnoliopsida; Fabales; Fabaceae
Description: long non-coding RNA (PVUL_LNC005125)
Source: RNAcentral
UUUUUUUUUUAUCAGCAAAGAAUUAAUUUAAAUUAAGGGGAUACAAAAGGGGUAUCCCAACCCUUUACAAAACCCAAACCUUGUUUUCUACGCACACACGGAGAUCGCCGCUUCAUUUCUAGGACGGCGAUGAUGCACAACUUCGGCGACCACCGACUACACACGCACGGAGAUCGCCGCUUCAUCGACCGGAGAUCAUGUUGGCCACGGUGAUGAUGCAUACCUUCG